Molecule: ribosomal RNA, 514 nt
Filed under: uncultured bacterium
Lineage: Bacteria
Description: bacterial SSU rRNA
Rfam family: Bacterial small subunit ribosomal RNA
Source: RNAcentral
GAGACAGGACUUCCCUUCGGGGCAGACAGACAGGUGGUGCAUGGUUGUCGUCAGCUCGUGUCGUGAGAUGUUGGGUUAAGUCCCGCAACGAGCGCAACCCUUACAGUCAGUUGCUACGCAAGAGCACUCUGGCAGGACUGCCGUUGACAAAACGGAGGAAGGUGGGGAUGACGUCAAAUCAUCAUGCCCCUUAUGGCCUGGGCUACACACGUACCACAAUGGCACUUAACAACGAGAAGCAAAGCCGCGAGGCGGAGCGAAACUCCAAAAAGUGUCUCAGUUCAGAUUGCAGGCUGAAACUCGCCUGUAUGAAGUCGGAAUUGCUAGUAAUCGCGGAUCAGCAUGCCGCGGUGAAUACGUUCCCGGGCCUUGUACACACCGCCCGUCACACCAUGAGAGUUGGCAACACCCGAAGUCAGUAGUCUAACCGCAAGGGGGACGCUGCCGAAGGUGGGGUUGAUGAUUGGGGUGAAGUCGUAACAAGGUAGCCGUAUCGGAAGGUGCGGCUGGAUCA